CCCUGGUUAGCUCAGUUAAUAGAGCGCUCCACUGGAAAUGGAGAGGUCUCGGGUUCGAUACCCGGGCCAGGGG
This 73-nucleotide transfer RNA is filed under the name Ixodes scapularis (black-legged tick). It matches the Rfam family "tRNA". Rfam says of the family: Transfer RNA (tRNA) molecules are approximately 80 nucleotides in length. Their secondary structure includes four short double-helical elements and three loops (D, anti-codon, and T loops). The record is from Rfam by way of RNAcentral. Lineage: Eukaryota; Metazoa; Arthropoda; Arachnida; Ixodida; Ixodidae.